CCAGGAUUGAGCUCGGGGGCACUCCACCCCUGGGCCACAUCCCCAGCUCUGUUUUGUAUUUUAUGUAGAGACAGGAUCUCACUGAGUUGCUUAGCACCUUGUCUUGCUGAGGCAGGCUUUGAACUCUUGAUCCUCCUGUUUGAACCUCCUGGGCCCCUGGGAUCACAGGCAUGUGUCACUGCCCUUGGCUUGAGAGGAGGUUUAAUGUUGUAUAAAGUAUGUAACAGAAUCACUCGUUUUGCAUAAAUUUAUUUAUUGGCUACUAUAUUGCUUUCCUUGCAGGCCCAACAGUCACUGGAUCUUAUCCAGUCCAAAAUAGUAAAAGCUGCUGGAGACACUAUUGUUAUAGAGAAUAGUGAAGUUUCCUCAGAAACGGUACAUAUUUUCUUUAACCCAAAAUCUCUGUGCUAAUAUCUUGUAAACUAUGUGGAGAUUAAAUAUUUGCAAGAUCUGUCUCUGACCAGAAAACUGUUUCCAUCAGAUAUUUUGUGUUCUUCUUCGUGUUGUUAUUUUGAUUACAGAACUGAGGAUUGAACCCCAGGUUUUGUGCAUGCUAGGCAAGUGCUCUACUACUAUUUUGCUUUUAGUUAAAAGUCUUUUCUUCAAAAUAUCACCUCUCAAAUGCACUGUUUUGAUUGAUGUUUGUUUUUACUGUUGCCUAGUGACAUAUUAUGUUAAUUUUCAAGGUUUGUGUGGAGAAAAAGAAUGGUAUAAUGCUUAAGGGUAAAGCCUCUGGAGUUCGACUGCUUGUGAAUCCUGGCCUUAUGACUUCAUACCUUCAUGUGUAAUUUUGGGCAUAUUAUUUCAUUAGUCUGUGCUUUAGUUGCCCAUCUAAAAAAGGCAAUGUAAAUAAUACCUGUAAUAAUAACUCUAUCUUGUAAGGUUGUUGAAGGAAUAAAUGGGUUAAUACUUAAUAUAUCUAAGAUAGUGAGUAGCAAUGCCUGGCAUCCAAUAAGAAUUCAAUAUAUGUUAACUGUGACUUGUGAGACUCUGCUCUUUUUUUUUUUUCCUGAAAGAAAAAAUGGAUUUAUUUCUGAUAUUCAUAGAUUACAGAUUUCUUUGUAGGUGGCUAAGUGAGAACAUUUUUUGCAGCAUAGGUUUUUUUUUUGUUGUUGUUGUUUUUUUUUUUGGUGCCAAAUAGUUGGCACUAAUAGUUAGUAGUCAACAUUUCUCUGUGUUUUUUGCUGUUGCUGAUUUUCAUGUAUGUUUUCAGAUUUUCAUGUUUGUAUUUGAAACAAUAAUAAAAUAUUUUCUGGUUUUGGUUGUACAUUCCUUUUCCUAGUGUUGAAGUUCAUCACUUAUAUCUUCUUUUCAGGAGUCUUCUGAAAAGGAGAAAAUGUUUAUAAGUCUAAAUCAGACUCUCACACAGUUACAGCAGUUGCUACAGUCAGCAAACCAACAGCUCACAAAGGAGAAAUAACACUACCAGGCCUUGGGUAAGGAGAAUUGAAGUUCCGCUGUCUGUUUAAGGAUAACAGACAUAGUGAAGGGAGGGUGAUGUGUAUUUACCACAAAUAAAAGAAACUCAUCAUUUCACUGAAGGGAAUAUUCAUUCUUUAUCUGUCUUGGAAGUUUCAGAUUACAGCCUGUUUUUUUUUUUUUUUUUCCUUGGAGUUUUUCUCCAAGAAAAAGGCCUACUUUGACCUUUUUUUCAAACUCUGUUUUGUCACUUGGCUAUCAGGGUAUGGGCAUUGCCAUAAUGCUUAUAACUGCUUCAUUAGUUUCUUAUGAUCUUAGUUCAAAUGAACUAUUUGGGUGAUAUUCUCUUAUUUCCCCUCUGUUUAUGACUUGGUAAAAUGAAGUGACCAUAACAUUUUUAUUGAUGUAAGAUUGCUGAUCUGAGAAUCAAGUCAUCACAAUUAAUUAAUUUUUACAUGAAUAAAGAACACAAAAUUUAUUAUGCCUAAGGCAUGUAUUAGACUUCCCUUCUUUUUUGUAGUUGGGCAUAAUACCUUUAUUUUAUUUAUUUAUUUUUAUGUGGUACUGAGGAUCAGACCCAGGGCCUCGUACAUGCUAGGCGAGCGCUCUACCACUGAGUCAUAACCCCAGCCCUAUUUCCAUUCUUUUUUUUUUUUUUAUUAGUUAUUGGUGGAUCUUUAUUCAUUUAUUUGUUUAUAUGCAGUGCUGAGAAUCGAACCCAGUGCCUCACACAUGCCAGGCAAGCGCACUACCAUUGAGCCACCACCCCAGCCCCUAGACUUCCAUUCUUUAGGUUGGAAGCUGUUUUACUGAAGUUGGUCUUGGGGGUGAUCUAAGAAAUCUAUUUUUUAACACCUGAAGUGAGAAUUUUAAUUGAGGAUGAAUAAAUCCAAAUGAGCUUUUAUUGUCUAUAUUACCUUAAAAAGCUCCAGUUGAUUAGCACUUAAAAAUGACUUGUGUUCUAGCUGGUGAAUAUACAGGUUUUGUUCUUCUUGUUAUUUGGGUUUUAUGGCUUUAUAAAUGAUUCAGGUCACACUGCCUAGGGUAGAGUAUUCACACAUGAACUAAAUAUCCUUCUUUUGAGGCGGCCAUACUGUCUCACUUUUAAAGACUUCUCAUCCUAUGGCCAAACUGAGCAUAUGCUGUCUUUAAAAUGCUGAUUCAAGUCCGUUAACUCUCAGAAGACUUUCCUCAUUCUUUAACCUAUUAGCAAAAGUAAUGACUCUACCUUUCCAUCUUUCAUCCUUGUAAAAUGACCUCUUCAGUUUCUUGAAGUCACCCUUCUGCUGCAUUCUCCUGUUUUCAAAUUGUGAAACAACCUGGCUUCAUGGGGAAACUCUUCUGUCUCACCUUCCCAUGACUGCUACCUUACUCUCUCUUUAUGGUCCCUUUGUUCAGUAUUGAAAACAUGCUCAGCGUUUUAUUUUAAUCAUAUUUUUCCUUCUAGUCAGCACCCUAAUUUUUCACUUCACCUUUAACAAGGGAUUCUUAAAAUAAGAAACUCUCCUCGCAGUGUAGGUGCAACUUCUUUCCUUGCUGUUAGUUCUUAUAUCUGUUCUAGAAUGGCUUCUCCUACUCCAGUCCAAAGAAACCACUUUUGCUAGCAUUGUUAGUAAUAUCCUAAACCUGGAUCUAAUAUUAAUAUAGAGCCCUUCUUUGCAUUUAAUAAUACCAAAAGUUUAUUAAAUAUGCUCAAUGUUCUAAAGUUAGCCAACAGGCCUUUGUGUUGUAAGGGAAGGGUUUUAUUUGAGGAGCGCUUUUAUAAGAUUGUCUUUUAUCCCAUGCCUUUAGACCUUAUCAUUAUUUAUUUGAGGGCGGGGAUAGUUGUAAAUUUCAAUCUCUCCUUUCUGUGCUACUUACUUGCCUUAGGUUUAUGUUCUCUUGAAUAGGGCUAAUAAAAAUGGUUCCCAAUGUUGUUCUCUUAAAUAUUUUCUAAUAGGAUUUGGCUUACAUUAUUAAUUUUUUUUACCUGAAAACUUCUGAAUCCUGACAGUUGUCUUUUUUGGAGGGAUGGGUACUGGGGAUUGAAUUCAAGGGCACUUGAUCACUGAGCCACAUCCCCAGCCCUAUUUUGUAUUUUAUUUAGAGACAGGGUCUCACUGAGUUGCUUAGCGCCUCAUUUUUUCGGAGGCUGGCUUUGAACUUUCAAUCCUCCUACCUCAACCUCCUGAGCUGCUGGGAUUACACGUGUGUGUCACUGGCUUGUCUUUUAUUUUGAUUACCAUUAGUGUGCAUUUCUUUGAGCCUACUUGAAAGGACUGAGCUAGAUCAAAUGGAAUUCGUAUACAAUGAAUGUAUUCAGAUUGCCUUUCGUUGCUUUGUUUUAAAAUGAAUUUCUUUUUGAUCUUUUACAGAGUGAAGUGACUGGGAAACCAUUCGUUUGAGGAUAACAGAAGGCAUUGUAUUAUAUUUUGCCAAAUUAAAGCCUUAUUUAUGUUUUCACCCUUUCUACUUUGUCAGAAACACUGAACAGAGUUUUGUCUUUUCUAAUCCUUGUUAGACUACUGAUUUAAAGAAAAACAUUUUAAAAAAGCCAACUCUGUAGACACCUUCAGAGUUUAGUUUUAUAAUAAAAACUGUUUGAAUAAUUAGACCUUUACAUUCCUGAAGAUGAAAUAAACAUGUAAUCUUUUACCUUAUUUUGCUCAAUUAAAUUGUUCAGAAGAUCAAAGUGGUAAAGACAAUGUAAAAUUUAACAUUUUAAUACUGAUAUUGUACACUGUUUUACUUAACAUUUUGGGGAGUAACUGCCUCUGACAUCAACUCAAGAAAACACUUUUUUGUUGCUAAUGUAAUCAGUUUUUGUAAUGGCAGUCAGCAAAUAAAGGGUUGCUUAUUAUUCAAACUUGACUUAUUCUAAUUUUCAUUG
Molecule: long non-coding RNA, 4288 nt
Filed under: Marmota monax (woodchuck)
Lineage: Eukaryota; Metazoa; Chordata; Mammalia; Rodentia; Sciuridae
Source: RNAcentral